UAGGUGUGUGUAAGUGACGACCCCAUGUGACGAAGUCGCGGAAGGAUGCAGUCUUUGGAACGGAUCCCCUUCAUUAGGAUUUCCUUGGCUUCUGGAUCCUUGGUUUUGGUGCCGCCUGGAAACGGACUACUCUGUAGCGAAGGAGGACUGACCACGUGGGAGAGAGGUCACGACUGCAGGAGUGGAGUCCUUCCUGAAGACCCGAGGAGGCUAGGAAACAACAGCACCAGAAGCUCUCCCAAGGCCGCCUGUCCCAGCAGAGCAGACUUGAGCAGAGUCUGCCGGUGUGUGGCUACACAGCACGCCACUUCGAAUUGAAUGCACCCCGUCUGACUCAGGGGUGAGUGCUCAAUGCUCCUCGGAUAGCAGGGGAGACGGCAUCAUUUCAGCUCAGCAGCAGUCGCUGAGGACGUGUCCGGCCACGAUGGCAAUGGCAAAGGAGCAGAUGGCGGGGAAUAGGGACAGGAGCUGUACACAGCGUAGCAUGACAGUUACAAUCUCUACAUGAUGCCCCAGUGAGCUACUGCAUGUGUGUCCUGUGUUCAGGCCACAUUCCUGUUCUUGUGGCUUAACGUCCACUAGUAAGCCUCCCUGGGAGGUGACACCUACACCUAAACUACUCCAAGCCGCUCUUAGCAGCUUUGCUGGGCUCACUACCAUUUUGGAGGGAACGGUAAUUGUUACUGAGGAGUUGGGGGCUGGAUGGAAGGGCACUGGGAGGGUUCUCUUGGGGCUCAGCCUCUGUUGCCUUGUUUGUCAUGGGAAGGCCUCUGUCCCCUCUUCCAGAUGGCUUUCUCCACCAAACACUGACACAAGAGGGGGAAGUCCCUUUCAUUCAAAGUGUAAUUGACCAGGUUAAUGUACUAUAAAGUGUGCGGGUUGAACAUGUAUCCUUUGGUGUCCUGGGGAAAGAGGUAUAUCAAGUCUAGAUGGUUUCUGUUGGCAGUAAUCCACCAAUUGGGCAGAGUGUUCCUUGAAAUCAUGGGGUGCGUUACUGUGAAACAGGAGCCACAGGUCUACUUGAAGUGGGAACUGGCUAGUA
This is a long non-coding RNA of Rhinolophus ferrumequinum (greater horseshoe bat), 1042 nucleotides long. RefSeq lists it as uncharacterized. Lineage: Eukaryota; Metazoa; Chordata; Mammalia; Chiroptera; Rhinolophidae. The transcript has 3 exons. The record is from RefSeq and is a predicted model, not a curated record.